CACCCGAGCUCGUUGGGAGCACACCUCCUCUCGGAACUAAGCCUGAAAAAAAUAUUUCUAAAUUUUUUGUUCGACGGAAUUUCUUUGGUAACAAACAAAUGUGGUAAAAUGGAAACAAUCUCAACUCUACACUCUACACUCGGUCAUUGCAUUCUUUAACGACGGGAAUGCAAUGGCUCUCUAGCUAAACAAUUGAUGAAUGAACUAAAGGCUCAAUGACUCACCCUUCCUGCCGUACUGCCCAUUGGGUCAGUUCCGAAAACGACUUGGAAAGCCGAUGGUACCGGUCCCGUUGGACGAGCAGCUCGCAUCGGAUUUCCAAUAUGUAAUCUUGAAAAAACGAAUGACUAUAAUAAAUAACUACAUGCUUAUAUGUUAAUCCAA
Long non-coding RNA from Drosophila takahashii, 384 nucleotides. RefSeq lists it as uncharacterized. Lineage: Eukaryota; Metazoa; Arthropoda; Insecta; Diptera; Drosophilidae. The record is from RefSeq and is a predicted model, not a curated record.